This 253-nucleotide ribosomal RNA is filed under the name uncultured bacterium. Its description in RNAcentral is "partial 16S ribosomal RNA". It matches the Rfam family "Bacterial small subunit ribosomal RNA", at positions 524 to 776 of the family's 1533-position model. The record is from RNAcentral.
UACAGAGGGUGCGAGCGUUAAUCGGAGUUACUGGGCGUAAAGGGCGCGUAGGCGGAUUAUUAAGUUAGAUGUGAAAUCCCUGGGCUUAACCUAGGAAUGGUGUCUGAUACUGGUAGUCUAGAAUACUAAAGAGGGUAGUGGAAUUUCCGGUGUAGCGGUGAAAUGCGUAGAGAUCGGAAGGAACAUCAGUGGCGAAGGCGGCUACCUGGUUAGAUAUUGACGCUGAGGCGCGAGAGCGUGGGGAGCAAACAGG